CAGCCUAGUAGUAAUGACCACGACCAUUAUUAUUACCGACACGACACAUGUUGGGGCAGGCUGCUGAGCGAAAGAAAUUCACAAAAAAGGCCUGUAUCCAACAAGAUACAGGCCUUUUUUUA
RNAcentral lists this small RNA (122 nucleotides) under Vibrio diabolicus. Lineage: Bacteria; Pseudomonadati; Pseudomonadota; Gammaproteobacteria; Vibrionales; Vibrionaceae. The record is from RNAcentral.